AUUCCCUUUCCGGGCGCUAUCAAACAUAAUACGGCCCCGGUUUGCACACCGGGAAUCCAGGAGAGUUCAUGUAC
This 74-nucleotide small RNA is filed under the name Enterobacter kobei. RNAcentral's name for it is "PyrD leader". It matches the Rfam family "PyrD leader". The record is from RNAcentral. RNAcentral also lists the same sequence under 1 other name. Lineage: Bacteria; Pseudomonadati; Pseudomonadota; Gammaproteobacteria; Enterobacterales; Enterobacteriaceae.